Molecule: ribosomal RNA, 1245 nt
Filed under: Candidatus Phytoplasma solani
Lineage: Bacteria; Bacillati; Mycoplasmatota; Mollicutes; Acholeplasmatales; Acholeplasmataceae
Description: bacterial SSU rRNA
Rfam family: Bacterial small subunit ribosomal RNA
Source: RNAcentral
GAAAACGACUGCUAAGACUGGAUAGGAAAUAAAAAGGCAUCUUUUUAUUUUUAAAAGACCUAGCAAUAGGUAUGCUUAGGGAAGAGCUUGCGUCGCAUUAGUUAGUUGGUGGGGUAAUGGCCUACCAAGACGAUGAUGUGUAGCCGGGCUGAGAGGUCGAACGGCCACAUUGGGACUGAGACACGGCCCAAACUCCUACGGGAGGCAGCAGUAAGGAAUUUUCGGCAAUGGAGGAAACUCUGACCGAGCAAUGCCGCGUGAACGAUGAAGUAUUUCGGUACGUAAAGUUCUUUUAUUAGGGAAGAAAAGAUGGUGGAAAAACCAUUAUGACGGUACCUAAUGAAUAAGCCCCGGCUAACUAUGUGCCAGCAGCCGCGGUAAUACAUAGGGGGCAAGCGUUAUCCGGAAUUAUUGGGCGUAAAGGGUGCGUAGGCGGUUAAAUAAGUUUAUGGUCUAAGUGCAACGCUCAACGUUGUGAUGCUAUAAAAACUGUUUAGCUAGAGUUGGAUAGAGGCAAGUGGAAUUCCGUGUGUAGUGGUAAAAUGCGUAAAUAUACGGAGGAACACCAGAAGCGAAGGCGGCUUGCUGGGUCUUAACUGACGCUGAGGCACGAAAGCGUGGGGAGCAAACAGGAUUAGAUACCCUGGUAGUCCACGCCCUAAACGAUGAGUACUAAACGUUGGAUAAAACCAGUGUUGAAGUUAACACAUUAAGUACUCCGCCUGAGUAGUACGUACGCAAGUAUGAAACUUAAAGGAAUUGACGGGACUCCGCACAAGCGGUGGAUCAUGUUGUUUAAUUCGAAGGUACCCGAAAAACCUCACCAGGUCUUGACAUGCUUUUGCAAAGCUGUAGAAAUACAGUGGAGGUUAUCAGAAGCACAGGUGGUGCAUGGUUGUCGUCAGCUCGUGUCGUGAGAUGUUGGGUUAAGUCCCGCAACGAGCGCAACCCUUGUUGUUAAUUGCCAUCAUUAAGUUGGGGACUUUAGCAAGACUGCCAAUGAUAAAUUGGAGGAAGGGGGGGACGACGUCAAAUCAUCAUGCCCCUUAUGACCUGGGCUACAAACGUGAUACAAUGGCUGUUACAAAGGGUAGCUAAAGCGUAAGCUUCUGGCGAAUCUCAAAAAAGCAGUCUCAGUUCGGAUUGAAGUCUGCAACUCGACUUCAUGAAGUUGGAAUCGCUAGUAAUCGCGAAUCAGCAUGUCGCGGUGAAUACGUUCUCGGGGUUUGUACACACCGCCCGUCA